This 460-nucleotide ribosomal RNA is filed under the name uncultured bacterium. Its description in RNAcentral is "partial 16S ribosomal RNA". It matches the Rfam family "Bacterial small subunit ribosomal RNA", at positions 338 to 795 of the family's 1533-position model. The record is from RNAcentral.
CCUACGGGCGGCAGCAGUGAGGAAUAUUGGUCAAUGGACGAGAGUCUGAACCAGCCAAGUAGCGUGAAGGAUGACUGCCCUAUGGGUUGUAAACUUCUUUUAUAUGGGAAUAAAAUGUUCCACGUGUGGGAUUUUGUAUGUACCAUAUGAAUAAGGAUCGGCUAACUCCGUGCCAGCAGCCGCGGUAAUACGGAGGAUCCGAGCGUUAUCCGGAUUUAUUGGGUUUAAGGGGAGCGUAGGUGGAUUGUUAAGUCAGUUGUGAAAGUUUGCGGCUCAACCGUAAAAUUGCAGUUGAAACUGGCAGUCGUGAGUACAGUAGAGGUGGGCGGAAUUCGUGGUGUAGCGGUGAAAUGCUUAGAUAUCACGAAGAACUCCGAUUGCGAAGGCAGCUCACUGGACUGCAACUGACACUGAGGCUCGAAAGUGUGGGUAUCAAACAGGAUUAGAUACCCCAGUAGUC